CCCCCACUUGAUCUUCGCCUGAUGCCUUCUCGCGGAGCAUCCACACGGCGACCCACGACCUCCGCAGCCAGAUCUCAGGCUCUGGCCUCGCCUCUAGUUUUUCAGGCCCCACAUCCUCCGGCAACGGCUGUCGGCAUGGAAUGGUCGGACAAUCGACCUCCGACGAAUUUCGCCAACACCAUCUCGGAAGAAUCCCGACGGGGAGCGACCGACGUAUUGGCCGGACUUCCCAAGCGGCAUAAGAUCGAGGAAUCCAUAACUUUCGCCGAAGAAGAUGCUUAGGGAGUUCAAUUUCUUCAUAACGAUGUGGUUGUA
This 315-nucleotide long non-coding RNA is filed under the name Elaeis guineensis (African oil palm). RNAcentral describes it as "long non-coding RNA (EGUI_LNC057686)". Lineage: Eukaryota; Viridiplantae; Streptophyta; Magnoliopsida; Arecales; Arecaceae. The record is from RNAcentral.